CCUACGGGUGGCAGCAGUGGGGAAUAUUGCACAAUGGGCGAAAGCCUGAUGCAGCAACGCCGCGUGAAGGAAGAAGGGUUUCGGCUUGUAAACUUCUAUCAACAGGGACGAAAGAAAUGACGGUUCCUGAAUAAGAAGCCCCGGCUAACUACGUGCCAGCAGCCGCGGUAAUACGUAGGGGGCAGGCGUUAUCCGGAAUUACUGGGUGUAAAGGGAGAGUAGGCGGCAUGGUAAGCCAGAUGUGAAAGCCUUGGGCGUAACCCGAGGAUUGCAGUUGGAACUAUCAAGCUAGAGUACAGGAGAGGAAAGCGGAAUUCCUAGUGUAGCGGUGAAAUGCGUAGAGAUUAGGAAGAACACCAGUGGCGAAGGCGGCUUUCUGGACUGAAACUGACGCUGAGGCACGAAAGCGUGGGGAGCGAACAGGAUUAGAUACCCUGGUAGUC
This 443-nucleotide ribosomal RNA is filed under the name uncultured bacterium. RNAcentral's name for it is "partial 16S ribosomal RNA". It matches the Rfam family "Bacterial small subunit ribosomal RNA", at positions 338 to 795 of the family's 1533-position model. The record is from RNAcentral.